RNAcentral lists this long non-coding RNA (506 nucleotides) under Astyanax mexicanus (Mexican tetra). RNAcentral describes it as "lncRNA (ENSAMXG00005007592.1)". The record is from RNAcentral. Lineage: Eukaryota; Metazoa; Chordata; Actinopteri; Characiformes; Acestrorhamphidae.
UUCUUCUAAGGUCGUCAUUGCCCUUACAGAGGGAUGUCCCAGCCUUUGCCAUGUCCUAUCGGGCAGUACACAGAUGUUCCCGGCCAGAUCUCAUGUAAGAGCUGUAAUGGAAGUGCUGCAUGUAGAGUUAUUGGAGCUCAGACCAGGAGUAGAACAGAGCUUCAGCCGGGCCAGAGGAACAAAACGCCGCCCACCUGUUCACCUGGCACACACAGAGACGGAGAGGGACCCGGCUGUGAGGUGUGUCCUCUGGGACAUUACUGUGUAGCAGGCAUUGCUAUACAGUGCCCAGCUGGGACAUAUGGACCUAAAGAGGGUCUGCAGAGGGAGAGAGACUGCGCUAUCUGCCCUGCAGGGUUUUACUGUUUGGAGGGCACCUCCCGGAGGCCCAGUUCUCAGUUUCUGUGCCCUCAAGGCUAUUACUGUGAGGAGGGCACCGCCGUGCCACACGGGUCACCUUGCCCGGCCGGCACUGCAGGAGGACAACUGGGCCAGACAAGUAGGGC